Molecule: long non-coding RNA, 10085 nt
Filed under: Homo sapiens (human)
Lineage: Eukaryota; Metazoa; Chordata; Mammalia; Primates; Hominidae
Description: HSALNT0024181
Source: RNAcentral
AAAAAAAAAAAUUGCGUAGUGGUGCAUGCCUGUAGUCCCAACUACUUGGGAGGCUGAGGUGGGAGGAUCACUUGAGCCUGGGAAGCGGAGGUCACAGUUAGUCAAGAUAGCUCCACUGCCCUCCAGCCUGGGUGACAGAGUGAGACCCUAUCUCAAAAAACAAAUAAAUAAAAUCAGAACGAAAAAAUAUAAUAAUCACAAGUACAUAAGAACAAAUUCAUAUACUUUUUAAUUUUAUUUUUAAUGAAGAAAGGAGCCCACAAAGACAAAAAUACCCUCAGCAUUUCCAGGCACCACAAGAGUCACAAUGAGGCCCUAGUAAGGACACCAAUCCAGUUGAAGUUCAUGUAUUCAUACUGAGUACUCCUGGAAAUUUUCAUAUUUUAAAUUUAUAUAUUGCGCAAGACUUAGUCUUUGAUUUUCUAGUUUUUUCUAUUUAUACUAACACCUCAGAGACCUAAUACAUUUCAUGGCCUUUGUUUACUGUCUCUAUCGUAAUGACUUCCAAGUCCCUCUCUUCUCUAUUCUUGUGUUGGAGUUCUAAUUUUGUACUUCUAAGUACCUGUUGGGUAUUUCCACCUGUGUAUCUCAUCGCUGGCUCAGCCGACAAACACAUCACUGAGCUCACCAUCUUCCCCUGCUCUUCGGUUUUCUCUCUUCAAUUUUCCUGUCUAUUAGAGUUCCUGCUAACUCUGUAGUCAUUAAUGAACCAACCACAAGCUUGUCUCCUUCUUCAUCCCCUUAUCUGAGGACCUGAUUGAGCCUCUGGUCCCAUGCCCACUGCCAUCCCUAUUGAAGUCUCACUGCCAGUCCCUCAGCCAAGCAUCCUUACUUCUCAUCGAGUUCCACAUGCAGACUCCUGACUGACUUCUCUGCAUUCCAGCUUCCUUGUGCGAUACAUUCCUGACCCUCCCCGAAUUGAUCUUUGUACUGCUUUCAUCAUUUUCCUCCUCUGCUCCAUAAUUCCUCCGCACUUCAACCCAAACUCCUCACCCAGUUUAGAAAGCUCUGCUCACGUGGUUCCUCCCACUGUGGACAAUGCAUCUCCCAACACAUUAACACCCACCAGAGGUGAUGAUUAAGGAGUCCCUUCACUCACGAACUAGACUUGCUGUCUUAGUCUUUUGUGUCUGCUCUUUCUUUCAUUCAUUUACUCCAUUUUUGGGGUAACUACUCUGUCCCAGGCACAGACACCUUAAAUGGUCCUCUAUUACCUAUUCCAACCCUAUACAGCUUUCAAAGCUCAGGUCAACUUCCAAUCCAUGAAGCCCAGGUCUCCCUUCUAUCACAAGUCUUUUUCCUCUGAACUCCUGGGAAGCUUAGAGACAUUGUCAAACAUUUAGGACUUAAACAUGUGACAUGAGAUUUCCUGACUGUGUCACGCAUGCUCUCCAGUCUGACUUGUUUGAGUUUCUGCAAAGAUCUUUACAGAAGAUCUAUCUUCUUACCACUCAGCUGCAGCUGGCAUCGAGCCCUGGCUGGACUAGUCAUGCUAACCCCUUGGUUAUUAAUCAUCGCCAUGAUUUUUCAUGUGUUUACUAUAGUAUGAUCCAGGCGUUGACUAUACUGGGCACUUUAUGAGGUUGUUAUUAUCCUCCGUUUUUUACAGAUGAGGAAAGUGAGGCUCAGAGGGGUUAAGUGACUUCUCCAGUUUUACAUAGUUUGAAAGUGGCUGACUGAGAAUUUGAAUAUAGGUCCGACAUAAUUCAAAUAUUGUGCUCUUGACCACUUAACUAAAUUAACUCUACUUUCUGAUUGAUUCACAUAUGUUGAAAUCUACUCAUUCUCCUCCUAGUGUCAUUAUGUUUGUUUAUUCUCUCCUUUAUAUUUUUAAGGCCUGCUGGUCUAUCCUUUCCAGGAUCUACACUUAUGCUGGACCCACUAAGCUGUCCUAGAACAUCAUAGUAAAUGUUCACCAGAUAUUAAUUAUUUGAGUGAGAAUGGUUGUGAGCAUUGGGUACUCCCCCAGCCAGUACCCUUCUCUCUUGCAGUAGUAUAUUUUGUAGAUUAAAUAAAACUCAAGAUAAAAAAAACAAAUUAAUAAAUGAUCAAUGGAAACAGAAAUUUGGAACAUAAAAGUAUUAUUUCAAAAUGAACACAUUAUAUGUAAAAGCUCACAACCAGGAAUUUCUUCAGUUGGGUUUGCAGCAAUGUUAUGUCACUAAUACUAUAUUUCUCUCUGUAUGGCCAAACCUGUAAAGCCUCAAUAUCUGAUUAUGGAGCACAUCUAGACUGUUAAAAAGCUUUCUAUAAUAUUAAUAAAAUCAAAUAAUAAAUAAAAAUUAAAUUGACUAAUCAUAGCAAUUUCAUUUUGAGAAUGUUUUGUAGGCUGAAGGCAAAUCCUUGAGAUAUUUUUGCAGGAGCGUCAUUGCGAAACAGAAUCUGCAGUAGAACUAUGUCAUCUUCUGGUUCUGAGUGUGCCCUCUCAUUGCUGGCAGAUGCUUAAUGCAGUUAAGUAACAAGAUCUUGGAAGACAAGUGUUGAAGGUGAAAGAGGCACAAGAUAGAAGAAACCUGGGUCCUUAGAUCCUUGCUUGGAGGAAAACCACCUGCCAAUCCAGAACAUCAUUUUGGACUUCAUUUCAUAUUAGAUAUUAUGUUACCAAUGAGCAGGGACUAUGAUGAAUGUGUCUUUAGAACACCCAAUGAAGUGCCACUUGCCACAAGAAGCUAAGUCACAAUCUGAUGGCCAGAGGAGGCAAUCAUUCUUCCUACAGUUUUGUGCAUAAACCUUCCUGCCUCUCUGCUGGGGACCACCUAUGGGGAAAGGAAAACUUCUCUCUCAUGGCUCUCCUUUCCCAGGAAAACUUUAGCUCCUGUUGAGACCAACACCUUCCCUGGAGAAUGCAGAGUGAAGGGAUUAGGCCCAUCACAAUUUUCCAUUCAUGAUGUUGGGUCAAGCAAGGCAUCACACAGAAUGAAUAGAAACAGAAACAGCCCCACAUGUGAAGUAGGAGCCAUGCUGGAAUGAACAAGGGCCACGGUAUGGGUGAGUUACACGGUACAGAGCACAGGGGCUGACUGCUUUGUGCUCUUCCAGGUGGGAUCAUUACUUGCCAGCCUUCCAGCUGAUGCCAGUGGCAACAGCACGACAGGCUGAACUGGAUUCUUUAUGACUAUGUAUUCAUUAGGGGGAAAAAGCACUUCCAAUGCAAAUGAUUGAAAUGGAAACAAGAUGUGCACUCUGCUGCCUAAAUGAAAGCUCUACCAGGUAGGCCAUUCAAACUCAAUUAAGAGUAGCAAAACAGGAUCUAUCAGGACAGUGGCUGUAACCCCUGUCACAGAGAAUGGACAGUGAGCGGUCCAAAUGGAUUGGGGGGCAUGAAUGGCACCUGACUUACAGCAGGAGCUCAGCACUUUUACUCUCUUUGCCGCUUCACUGGAACCAGGAGAAAAAGACAUUAGGAUGAAGGAUAAUGUGUGAUACACACAUAAAGAUGAAAGCGAGAGGGACACAUGCAAUGUCACUUAUUGGAAGGACCACUUUAGGCUGCUCUGUCCUCUCUCCCCUGAAAACAUGUUCCACAUUGUUUUAACCAUCUGUGGCCCACUCUGGAGCUCAAGGAACCCUGGCCUUUCUGCUUUAUUGUGAGCACAGCCAUAUGAAACUGCAAUCUGGCAGCUGAAGGGGAAAGUACUUUUACUGUCUCUGCUGAGAAAGGGUUUGGAUGAAUCGAAUCCCCUGUUAUGCGUGAAAUUGUACCCUCUAGAAAGCUCUGUUGAUGACCCAACCCACGGUACCUGUGAAUGUGACCUUAUUUGAAAAUAUGGUCUUAUAAAUGUAAUCAAGCAAAGAUGAGAUGAUACUGAAUUAGGGUGGGCCUCCACCAACAUGACUGGUGUCCUUAUGAGAAGCAAGGAAGAGACAUAAGGAGAACAUGGUGUGACAAUUGAGACAGAGAUUGGAGUGAUGCAUCUACAAGCCAAGAAAUGUCAAGGGCCGUGAGCCACACCAGAAGCUAAGAGAAAGGCAUGGGACUGACCCUCCCCUAGAGCCAUCAGAAAGAGCCUGACCCUGGCGGCACCUUGCUUUUGGACUUCUAGACUCCAGAAUUAUGAGAAUAAAUUUGUGUUGCUUUAAGCCACUCAGUUUGUGGUAAUUUGUUAUGACAGUUCUAAGAAACUAAUCCACCCUGCUAAAGAGUAAAUGUCUGAUGCAAAACUCACUACAUGGAUGAAAAGGCUGAGAUAUUCCGAAGAGUCAUAAUGAACUGUGCCGUCAUCUACAAAGGAAGUGCAGCACUGCAACAACUCAAGAUAGAUUCUGGAGACGUGGCAGGACAGACGUGCCUACCAGACUAGGAGCACUUUCAGGACAGCGUCAUGCCUUGUUCUCCUCCACAUCCCUCCGUGCCUGAAAAUCAGAAAUGCUCAAUUAAAUGUUGAAAAUGUCAAUAAAUUCAUAGGAAAACGAUCUCAGAUAAGUCAAUAACGUUAUGUUAUUUUAUUUUAUUUUUGAAAUGGAGUCUUGCUUUGUCACCCAGGCUGGAGUGUAGUGGCACGAUCUCAGCUCAUUGCAACCUCUGCCUCCCAGGUUCAAGCGAUUCUCCUGCCUCGGCCCCCUGAGUAGCUAGGAUUAUAGGCAUGCACCACCACGUCCAGCUAAUUUUUGUAUUUUUAGUGGAGACGGAGUUUCACCAUGUUGGUCAGGCUGGUCUCGAACUCCUGACCUCGUGAUCCACCCACCUCGGCUUCCCAAAUUGCUGGGCUUACAGGUGUGAGCCACCGCACCCAGCCAUGAUUAACCUUAUUUUAUGAUGUCAUGUAAGUCCUUACCACCACCUUCCAUGAAGACGUAACUGACAAAGACAUCUGAUUUGAUGCUUUCAUUGGAGAAACCCACCCUUGGCCAUUGAAGAGCACAACUUUGGGUUUCUUUGAGAUUUAAUCUGGUCCUUGGAUUCCCAAAUGGCAGACGUGGCCAGUAACAGCUUUUUACAAAUCUUCAAAUCCCACUGACACUGGGAUUCUGCCCCUCAGACGUGGCUGUGGUUUUUUCACUGGCAGGGCAGGAUAUGUUACUCUCCGCUUAACAUCGGCCCACUCACAGUGUUAGUUAGCCUGCUGUUUCAUACAUGAAUCCAUCUGAAAUGCCUCCGAGUCUCCAGGUGAAGGGUGCUGCCAUCAGCAGCAGCCAAUAAAUGAAAUAAUACCAAAUAUAAAAUCAGCCACAUUGGUCUCCUGGAGGUAAAUAGAGCACAGGGGCGUUUCAUUUACUGAAAGGCCAGAAUUGCGAUACCUGUAAAUGUUGAAUGUGAAUGUGUUUUAUAAAGUGUAAAGGGCUGUAAAGAAGUCAGUUAUUAUGUUUAUUAUUGCUCCUGCUCUGUACACUUGAUCAAAUGACAAACCCAAAGGCUCACCUCUCUGGGCUCCGGUUUCCUUACUCAAAUGAGGGAAUUAUGUUUAAUAUCCCAAGCUCCCAACUAAAUCUUUUUUUUUUCCUUUGACUCUAUGAAUCUAUCAGCAGGAACUUCCAUCCAAAUUCCUGAAAUGUGGGAAUAUAUUUGAUGACGCUGUUUACAUAUAAUAUUAAUUUAUUUUGCAUAAAUUUUUCAGAAUAUGUUUUGUAUAACAUAGAAGAUGAAGGGGGAAAAAGUAAAGUAAGAUGGGAAAGUAGGCCAUAAGGAAGGAUAAGGAGAAACGCUUAAGAAAAUCCACCUAUUAUAAUAAUUAAAAUUCAGCUUACCUGGAAAGGGGAGGAGAGCAUUUAUGAUUAACAUGAAUGUAGUCUGUGCUCAUUGCAAAGUAAAUUUUCAGAAAAAAAGGGCAAAAUCUGAUUAUUUUAAUCGUCAGAUUAAAUGCAAUUAGAAAUCCCACCUACCUUUUAAAGUAAACAGCAAACUUAGUAUUUUACUACAUAAAAGAAACAAUUGAAAUAAUCCUAACUUCAGGUUAUCGUUGCAUAUAACAGAACAUUAUAUUUGAAAAUGAUCCUCAUUGAGUUUUUUGGAUUCAACAACUUUUUCUGUGGCUAAAAAUGUCCCUUGAGUUUCUGAAAUCUGCUAGAAUGCUGGGAAGAGCUGUGCAGAAAUACCUCCAAAGGGUCAGAAAGUAAUUUAGGAUUUUUAAUUCAAUGGAAUCAAUCUUUCUUGUGUAUUUUUACUUACUUUUUUAGACAAUAGGCCAAUGAUUGUAGGGUUUGUUCUAGCCUUGAAACCAACUCUCUGCAGAGCAAUUCCUGUUUCCACAAAGGGUGCAUCAGGAUGCAUGGGACCCCCGGAUCACAGGCCCCACGUGUGAACGAAGCAACACAGACCAUGGAUAACAGAGACCUCUCUAGGGUGAGUUCUCUUGAGAUGCAGGGCACGAUCAACAGGACGAACAAGCCUAAAGAUGACAAAUGGGUAUACUGGCAUGGGCUGGACGAAAGGAGGCAAUAGGGCUAAAAACACAGAACCAAACCUGUCAUUUCUCUCCACAACUUCCUUUUGAUCUCAAAUAUCAUGUGUUCUCACUUAUAAGUGGGAGCUAAACAAUGGGUACACUUGGGCAUGAAGAUGGAAAUCAUAGACACUGUGGAUUCCAAAGUAGGGGAGAAUGGGAGAGGGGCAAGGGUUCAAAAAUUACCUGUUAGGCACUAUGUUCACUAUCUUUUUUUUUUUUUUCUUUUUUGAGACGGAGUCUCGCUUUGUCGCCCAGCCUGGAGUGCAAUGGCGCGAUCCCGGCUCACUGCAACCUCUGCCCACCAGGUUCAAGUGAUUCUCCUGCCUCAGCCUCCUCAGUAGCUGGGACUACAGGCAUGCGCCACCACGCCUGGCUAAUUUUUGUAUUUUUAGUAGAGACAGGGUUUCGCCAUGUUGGGCAGGCUGAUCUCAAACUCCUGACCUCAAGUGAUCCGCCCACCUCGGCCUCCCAAAGUGCUGGGAUUACACAUGAGAGCCACCGCACCUGGCCUAUGUUCACUAUCUGGGUAACAAGUACACUAGAAGCCCAAUCCCACUGUUAUGCAAUAUACCCAUGCCUAUGUACGUGUACCCCCUGAAAACAUGCAUAUGUACCCCCGAAUCUAAAAUAAAAUAAAAGAGAUGCAGAAAAGAAUAAUUUAAAAAAUAUUUUGAGAAAUGUAUAACAAGAGCCAUAAAAGUGUUUAUAUUCCCUUGUCCUAGUAAUUCUGCUUGUGGAUAUUUAUCUUAACAAAAUCAUCAGAAAUGUGUAGAAUGAUUUAUGGAUAAGCAUGUUCACUGAAGCAUUCCUUAGACUAUAGGAAAAUUUGGGAAAAAAACCCCAAUAUACAAAAAUGAGGAAACACUUAAAUUAAUCGUAGUCCAUUCAGAUGAUGGAAUGCAGUGUAGAUAUGUAAAAAUCAUAUUUUCAGAGAUGGCUGUUGAUCAAUGAAAAUGCCCAAUCUAUAACAUUCCAUGAAAAAGACAGAUAUACAGCCAUAUAUUCCAUACAAUUAUAAUUUUAAAUAUGUAUGAAUGUGUGUGUAUAUAUAAUAUAUGUGAAAAAAUUGGAAAGAAAUACACUAAAAUGUUAACUCAUUAUCUCUAAGUGGCAGGAUUAUGAGAUUACAGGUGAUUGUUUCUGGUUCUUUGUAUUUUUUAGUAUUUUUUUUUAUUUUUUUGAGAUGGAUUCUCACUCUGUUGCCCAGGCUGGAGUGCAGUGGCAUGAUCUCAGCUCACUGCAACCUCUGCCUCCCAGGUUCAAGCGAUUCUCCUGCCUCAACCUCCCGAGUAGCUGGGACUACAGGUGCGCACCACCGUGCCCAGAUAAUUUUUGUAUUUUUAGUGGAGAUGGGGUUUCAUCAUGUUGGCCAGGAUGGUCUUGAUCUCUUGACCUCAUGAUCCACCCUGCUUGGCCUCCCAAACUGUUGGGAUUACAGGCGUGAGCCACUGCGCCUGGCCUAUAUUUUAGUGUUCUAAGAUUUUUCUACAAUGACUCUGUAUUGCUUUUAAUGUCAAAAAUCUCAAUAAUUUUGAAGGUUAUGGUAUUUAUAUACUUUUUUAAAAAAUGACAAAUGUUCUCCCUAAAUCAGAAAUGUGGACACCGUGUUUUGGCUUUAGUGUAGUGAGGUGGAGUAUUAUGAUUAAAUACUGUGUUUUCAAGCAUUAAUGACUCAAAGAGCAGGUACUUACAGAGCACCUAUUAUUGCCAUCAACCAGUGUUAUUGAGCACUUACUCAAUAAGUGUUGGCCUCUGACUUUACGCCUAAGAGUCAGGAGACCACAAAAAAGCAACAAUGUCAGGUCUGCAAGGUGAAGGCAAGAAGCUCAUGUUCUAGGUACUUGUGACUGUCCUGUAAUGCUAAAGAAUGAACCAUUACCAAAGAUUUGGCAAACUCGCCCAAGCUUACUCCUAAGGAGUCUAACCUUUGCCCAAGUAUCUAGGACUCAGGCCCACCUGCUUAGCCUGGUCUCACUGAAGUGUGGAGGCAAAGCAUUUGCAGCUUCAUCAUAUUCCAUUUUGUCUCAUAAGGAAAUUGUGUUAGUCCAAGAGGCUUGGUGUGUUACAUGGUUGUACAGCUUAGUGCUUUCUUAGCACUCUGUUUAAGUGCUGACAACUUGAUAUUUUCAUCAAUGGUUGCUAUAUUUCUCCAAUGUUAGGUUGACAGGCUAAUAAUUUCAGAAGUCAAUUUCUCCCUCUCUCUCUCUUCUCCCAGUUUACAUAUUUCUAUUUUCCAAUUCCUUUAUCUGCAUUUUGUAAAUACCUCAAAAUAGUGGAAGGCAAGGCCUCUAGGAUCACUUGGCCCAAUCUCCAUAUAAUUGGAUCCUUAGGGCUUGCUAUAUCUUUAAAGAAAUUGAGGUCACCUUUUGUCACCAAGAAUUAAGCACCUGUUGUGUGACUGAUGGAGAUCUGUACACAGAGCACAUUGCCCAGGGCAGGGGUGAUUUGGUUACAGGCAGCCUCUCGAUGUAUGAUAAAAGUUGGCAUCAGGUUGUAAACAUUUUGCUCACUGUAGCAGAAAGCUCUCUGUGAACGGAGAGCUGUCUAAACAGGGUGGUUGGCCACAGAACCUGCCCAGGGAUGCACCUCCUUUCCACAUUAGCCCAUGGCCUUUCCAGCCCUGAAAUCUGAGUUGCAUGUGAGUCACUUAGACAGGCCAUCUGUCAAUUAUUAAGCGACAUCAGUGGGCCCAGCAAUUCCAUUCUGCGUAGUGCAAAGGUCCUCCACACAUUCCAGGUCUAUACCAUCAAAGUGGCUAUUUUUCUCAACCUAUCCCUGCCCUUUAAGAAAAUGGGGGUCAUUUAUUUCCAGGGAUCACUAUUUACACCCCAUUGGCAGGUAGUGGAGCCCAGUGGUUAAUAAACAACCUUGUUUUAAAUCCCAUCUCUGUUGUUUGCAAGCUGUGUGUCUUUCAGAAACUUUACUUAAAUUUCUUGAGCAUCAGUUUCCUCACAAGGGUGUGGUCAAGUGAUAAUCAAGUAUUUGUACUUUAACCCUGUACCUGGCUGAUAGCAAGCCCUCAGAAAAGAAUUAACUUAGAGUUUUUAUACAUUCCCUCCAGUACAAUGUUCCUAACAUACAAGGGGCAUAUGUGUGUAUUAUGAGUGGGAAGAAGGAAGGAAGGAUGCAAUUGAUAAGGCUUGCAUUCAACAUUGCUGUAGUCAAACCCUCUUUCCUUAGGAAGAUCUGGAUGUGCCAACAUUUCUUAUAUAUCAUAUGUGGAGGUGACUUAGGUUUUUCUUUCAGUACUUCAUCAUUUGAAAGAGCAUUUGGUGAUAAUGAGCAGGUUCUGAAGUCUGUGAACUAAACUAAAAGUAAAAAUAAAUGGGACGGUGAAAUUUUGUUUGUGCCUUAAGGGAACUCCCUUUUACCCUCCCACUAUGUUGAUGAUGUCAUGUUUGUUCUAACAUAUCAUCUAACAAUUCCCUCCAUUCAUUUUUUUUCUCCUUAUUUCUUUUCCUUUCAAGUAACAGUAUCUUCAACAAUCGUUCGGCUGUUCAGGAACUUAAAAAUCAUGAGACGAUUCUUAAAGGAUAGGAACUAACAUUGAUCACACAGUGUGUAAUCCCACAUCUAUAUACUGGCAAAUGAUGGCACAAACACCAUAAAAUCUCAGCUUGCUUUGUAGCCAUUCUGGAUUGCUGAGUUCUAGGCAAGUAAGAGCUGGUCCUUCAAAGCACCAAAAGAAAGAAAGGAAGGAAG